CGGGUCCGCUGUGGACAUGGCUGC
Molecule: non-coding RNA, 24 nt
Filed under: Cricetulus griseus (Chinese hamster)
Lineage: Eukaryota; Metazoa; Chordata; Mammalia; Rodentia; Cricetidae
Source: RNAcentral